RNAcentral lists this ribosomal RNA (378 nucleotides) under uncultured bacterium. RNAcentral describes it as "bacterial SSU rRNA". It matches the Rfam family "Bacterial small subunit ribosomal RNA", at positions 521 to 896 of the family's 1533-position model. The record is from RNAcentral.
UGAGACGUAGGGAGCGAGCGUUGUCCGGAUUCAUUGGGCGUAAAGCGCGCGUAGGCGGCCCGAUAAGUCGGAUGUGAAAUCCCGGAGCUCAACUCCGGAACUGCACCCGAUACUGUCGGGCUCGAGGUAGGUAGGGGAGAUCGGAAUUCCUGGUGUAGCGGUGGAAUGCGCAGAUAUCAGGAGGAACACCGGUGGCGAAGGCGGAUCUCUGGGCCUUACCUGACGCUGAGGUGCGAAAGCUAGGGGAGCGAACAGGAUUAGAUACCCUGGUAGUCCUAGCCGUAAACGUUGGGUGCUAGGUGUGGGCGGUUAUCAACCCCGUCCGUGCCGAAGCUAACGCAUUAAGCACCCCGCCUGGGGAGUACGGCCGCAAGGCUA